UUUGUUUGUCCAGGUUCACGCUGGCGACGAGUAGGAUGCGUUGCAUUCGACCUGUCUCUUUUUAAUGAUCAGCGUUGAGGGCGACUGCAAUCUCGUGUCGCGUGAAUUUUGGAACAUUAUUUAGUAAUUUUAUCGAUCCUAUGGUUGUUAGAUUACCGUAGCAGUGACCUUCCUUUUCUCUUUGAGUGGCGGGUGGACGUGGGCACCAGACUUACCUUCUCUCUUAU
Long non-coding RNA from Hyalella azteca, 227 nucleotides. RefSeq lists it as uncharacterized. The transcript has 2 exons. The record is from RefSeq and is a predicted model, not a curated record. NCBI's taxonomy places the organism in Eukaryota, Metazoa, Arthropoda, Malacostraca, Amphipoda, Hyalellidae.